This 403-nucleotide ribosomal RNA is filed under the name Verrucomicrobiota bacterium. RNAcentral describes it as "Verrucomicrobia bacterium partial 16S ribosomal RNA". It matches the Rfam family "Bacterial small subunit ribosomal RNA", at positions 355 to 776 of the family's 1533-position model. The record is from RNAcentral. Lineage: Bacteria; Pseudomonadati; Verrucomicrobiota.
UGGGGAAUAUUGCACAAUGGGGGAAACCCUGAUGCAGCGACGCCGCGUGAGCGAAGAAGGCUUUCGAGUCGUAAAGCUCUGUCCUAUGAGAAGAUAAUGACGGUAUCAUAGGAGGAAGCCCUGGCUAAAUACGUGCCAGCAGCCGCGGUAAUACGUAUGGGGCGAGCGUUGUCCGGAAUUAUUGGGCGUAAAGGGUACGUAGGCGGUUUUUUAAGUCAGGUGUCAAAGCUUGGAGCUUAACUCCAUUAAGCACUUGAAACUGAAAGACUUGAGUGAAGGAGAGGAAAGUGGAAUUCCUAGUGUAGCGGUGAAAUGCGUAGAUAUUAGGAGGAAUACCGGUGGCGAAGGCGACUUUCUGGACUUUUACUGACGCUCAGGUACGAAAGCGUGGGGAGCAAACAGG